UACGAGGGGGGCGAGCGUUGUUCGGAAUUAUUGGGCGUAAAGGGUGCGUAGGCGGUUCCGCAAGUCCUGUGUGAAAUCUUCGGGCUCAACUCGAAGUCUGCACGGGAAACUGCGGGGCUUGAGUGUGGGAGAGGUGAGUGGAAUUCCCGGUGUAGCGGUGAAAUGCGUAGAGAUCUGGAGGAAUACCGGUGGCGAAGGCGGCCCCCUGGACAAAGACUGACGCUCAGGUGCGAAAGCGUGGGGAGCAAACAGG
This 253-nucleotide ribosomal RNA is filed under the name uncultured bacterium. Its description in RNAcentral is "partial 16S ribosomal RNA". It matches the Rfam family "Bacterial small subunit ribosomal RNA", at positions 524 to 776 of the family's 1533-position model. The record is from RNAcentral.